GUGGGGAAUCUUGCGCAAUGGGCGAAAGCCUGACGCAGCCAUGCCGCGUGAAUGAUGAAGGUCUUAGGAUUGUAAAAUUCUUUCACCGGGGACGAUAAUGACGGUACCCGGAGAAGAAGCCCCGGCUAACUUCGUGCCAGCAGCCGCGGUAAUACGAAGGGGGCUAGCGUUGCUCGGAAUUACUGGGCGUAAAGGGCGCGUAGGCGGACAGUUUAGUCAGAGGUGAAAGCCCAGGUCUCAACCUUGGAAUUGCCUUUGAUACUGGCUAUCUUGAGUAUGGAAGAGGUAUGUGGAACUCCGAGUGUAGAGGUGAAAUUCGUAGAUAUUCGGAAGAACACCAGUGGCGAAGGCGACAUACUGGUCCAUUACUGACGCUGAGGCUCGAAAGCGUGGGGAGCAAACAGGAUUAGAUACCCGGGUAGUCC
Molecule: ribosomal RNA, 425 nt
Filed under: uncultured bacterium
Lineage: Bacteria
Description: partial 16S ribosomal RNA
Rfam family: Bacterial small subunit ribosomal RNA
Source: RNAcentral